UCUAGCGAGCCCACCUCCCACCCGUGUUUACUGUACCUUAGUUGCUUCGGCGGGCCCGCCAUUCAUGGCCGCCGGGGGCUCUCAGCCCCGGGCCCGCGCCCGCCGGAGACACCACGAACUCUGUCUGAUCUAGUGAAGUCUGAGUUGAUUGUAUCGCAAUCAGUUAAAACUUUCAACAAUGGAUCUCUUGGUUCCGGCAUCGAUGAAGAACGCAGCGAAAUGCGAUAACUAGUGUGAAUUGCAGAAUUCCGUGAAUCAUCGAGUCUUUGAACGCACAUUGCGCCCCCUGGUAUUCCGGGGGGCAUGCCUGUCCGAGCGUCAUUGCUGCCCAUCAAGCACGGCUUGUGUGUUGGGUCGUCGUCCCCUCUCCGGGGGGGACGGGCCCCAAAGGCAGCGGCGGCACCGCGUCCGAUCCUCGAGCGUAUGGGGCUUUGUCACCCGCUCUGUAGGCCCGGCCGGCGCUUGCCGAACGCAAAUCAAUCUUUUUCCAGGUUGACCUCGGAUCAGGUAGGGAUACCCGCUGAACUUAAGCAUAUCAAUAAGCGGAGGAA
This 551-nucleotide ribosomal RNA is filed under the name Alternaria solani. RNAcentral describes it as "eukaryotic LSU rRNA". The stretch from base 168 to 321 matches the Rfam family "5.8S ribosomal RNA". Lineage: Eukaryota; Fungi; Ascomycota; Dothideomycetes; Pleosporales; Pleosporaceae. The record is from RNAcentral.